AUUGGCAAUUUAUUGUGUGUUCAUGUGAAACAAAAAGUACAUUAAUGUAACUGCCUUGCGGUCAAUUCUUAAUGUCAACAUUGAUACUUUUAAUAAUGCACCAGAUUAAAUGAAACCUUGUACAAUUGUAGAAUAUCUUUCUUAUUCAAGCAAAACUGG
Molecule: long non-coding RNA, 159 nt
Organism: Etheostoma cragini (Arkansas darter)
Lineage: Eukaryota; Metazoa; Chordata; Actinopteri; Perciformes; Percidae
Exons: 3
Source: RefSeq, a predicted model, not a curated record